UCGUGCUAGGUGGGGCACUAGGGGUGCCCUGAACCCGAAACCCUCUUCACGCGGGACCGAAUUCCCCGCCCGAGGGGCGACAUGCCGCCGGGGCGCACAGCCCGGGUGGUGGACACGUGGCAUUGACGGUUGGGUCCUGCGCGGCGGAGCACCACGAAUCGGGUCAGAUCCGGGAGGAAGCAGCCCUAAAUGGAACGUUCCGGGUGCCGUAGGGUUGCCUGACCCGAGCCGGCGGCCAUCGCCGACGGCGGUGGCGGAGCCUCGAAGGCGGGGGCACGA
RNAcentral lists this signal recognition particle RNA (279 nucleotides) under Actinomycetota bacterium. RNAcentral's name for it is "Actinobacteria bacterium signal recognition particle sRNA large type". It matches the Rfam family "Bacterial large signal recognition particle RNA". Rfam says of the family: The signal recognition particle (SRP) is a universally conserved ribonucleoprotein involved in the co-translational targeting of proteins to membranes. Archaeal SRP consists of a 7S RNA and homologues of the eukaryotic SRP19 and SRP54 proteins. The record is from RNAcentral. Lineage: Bacteria; Bacillati; Actinomycetota.